GAUGAAGAACGCAGCGAAAUGCGAUAAGUAGUGUGAAUUGCAGAAUUCAGUGAAUCAUCGAAUCUUUGAACGCACAUUGCGCCCCUCGGUAUUCCGUGGGGCAUGCCUGUUCGAGCGUCAUUUAACCCCUCGAGCCUAGCUUGGUAUUGGGUGCUUGUCCCGCCUCUCGCGCGGCGACUCACCUCAAAGUCAUUGGCAGCCCGCAUCUCGCCGGCCGUGAGCGCAGCACAGACGCGCUCUUGGCAACGACGGAUCGGCUCUCCAAAAGUUUAUUUCAUCCACUGACCUCGGAUCAGGUAGGGAUACCCGCUGAACUUAAGCAUAUCAAUAAGCGGAGGA
This 339-nucleotide unclassified non-coding RNA is filed under the name soil metagenome. Its description in RNAcentral is "partial contains 5.8S ribosomal RNA, internal transcribed spacer 2, and large subunit ribosomal RNA". The stretch from base 1 to 120 matches the Rfam family "5.8S ribosomal RNA", at positions 35 to 154 of the family's 154-position model. The record is from RNAcentral.